This 73-nucleotide transfer RNA is filed under the name Phrynosoma platyrhinos (Desert horned lizard). RNAcentral describes it as "tRNA-OTHER". The record is from RNAcentral. Lineage: Eukaryota; Metazoa; Chordata; Lepidosauria; Squamata; Phrynosomatidae.
GGUUAGCAUAGUGUAGUGGUUUGAGCAUUAGACUAUGACUCUGGAGACCAGGGUUUGAAUCCCCAUUCAGCCA